UACAGAGGUGGCAAGCGUUGUUCGGAAUUACUGGGCGUAAAGGGCGCGCAGGCGGUCGUUCAAGUCGCGUGUGAAAGCCCCCGGCUCAACUGGGGAGGGUCACGCGAUACUGAUCGACUCGAAGGCAGGAGAGGGAAGUGGAAUUCCCGGUGUAGUGGUGAAAUGCGUAGAUAUCGGGAGGGACACCAGUGGCGAAGGCGACUUCCUGGCCUGUUCUUGACGCUGAGGCGCGAAAGCUAGGGGAGCAAACGGG
This 253-nucleotide ribosomal RNA is filed under the name uncultured bacterium. RNAcentral describes it as "partial 16S ribosomal RNA". It matches the Rfam family "Bacterial small subunit ribosomal RNA", at positions 524 to 776 of the family's 1533-position model. The record is from RNAcentral.